AAACAUGUCUGUAUGAGAGUUAUAUAAAGUCUGACCUGCCCAUUGGGGACUAAAAGGCCGCGGUAUUUUGACCGUGCGAAGGUAGCAUAAUCAUUAGUCUUUUAAUUGGAGGCUGGAAUGAAUGGUUGGACGAGAAGGAAGCUGUCUCUAUCUCGGAGAUUGAAUUUAACUUUUAAGUGAAAAGGCUUAAAUAAGUUAGAGGGACGAUAAGACCCUAUAAAGUUUUUACAUGAAGUUGGUUAAGAGUGAUUUAAGGUGUUAAAGUUUAUUAUCAGCAGGGUGUUUAGUUGGGGCGACUAGGAUAUAAAUUAUAUAACUGUUUUUUGUUUAAAUCAGAGAUAUUUGUUCAUAUGGUCCCUUUUUAGGAUUAGAGAAUAAAUUACUUUAGGGAUAACAGCGUAAUUUUUUUUAAGAGUUCUUAUCGACAAGAGAGUUUGCGACCUCGAUGUUGAAUUAAAAAUUUCUCUGUGGUGUAGCGGUUACAGGAGAAGGUCUGUUCGACCUUUAAAUUUUUACAUGAUUUGAGUUCAGACCGGCGAAAGCCAGGUUGG
This 551-nucleotide ribosomal RNA is filed under the name Cherax albertisii. RNAcentral describes it as "partial 16S ribosomal RNA". It matches the Rfam family "Bacterial large subunit ribosomal RNA", at positions 1811 to 2634 of the family's 2925-position model. Lineage: Eukaryota; Metazoa; Arthropoda; Malacostraca; Decapoda; Parastacidae. The record is from RNAcentral.